Rattus norvegicus (Norway rat) is the source of this 770-nucleotide non-coding RNA. Lineage: Eukaryota; Metazoa; Chordata; Mammalia; Rodentia; Muridae. The record is from RefSeq and is a predicted model, not a curated record.
CUUUCGCUCAGUGAUGUAGUUAUCUCAAAACUCAAUCCGUUUGAAACAAAUUAACUGACUUGCCUAGGAGGUGGGAAGAAUCGCUCAGAGACGAGGCGACCUGGGUCUUAAUUAUCAGUCUAAGCUAAUGUGUUUCAAUAUAUAAAGCCCCAAGAACUGUCAUAGCUAUCACGAAGUGAACCAUCACAUAUUCCCGUGUUUCUAUGAAACCAAUGACAUUUACACUGUCACCAGCGAAGAAAGCGUAACAGAUUACAUUAAUCAUUAAAACAAUAAUAAAACUCUGAUUUCAACUUCUUUCCUUUUCCACACAAUUCAAUUACACAUUGGCCUCCAUAAGACAGAUUCCUAAUAUUUGCUGGUUCUUUUCUUAUAUAUUGAAAUUUUUAUAAUCGAGUGGGGGUUUUUUUGUUUUGUUUUGUUUUUUUAAAUAGGGAUCUCUCCAUUCUGUCCUCCAAAAGGAAAAAUUACUGUUGACAAAGGCAGUUGAAGUAAAAGUUAGGUUCAACGUUGUGGGUUUUAAAGAAAUAUUUAUGAAUAAGAUGGGUAGUGUAUUCAUGAGGUAAGGUAAUUAAUAUUUCAACACAGGACUAUGAUGGAUUUGAAUAAAAUACACUUGCUUCCAUGAGGUUCCAAUUCAAAGUGGACACUGAACAGAGAAAGCUGGCAGCGUUACGAUGUCUAGAACAGGUGGAAAGUGCUCCGAGGCUGCCACGGAAAGGAUUCUACUUCCUGGUUCCUGUGCACUCAAUAAACAGACUCCGGCAAUA